Molecule: non-coding RNA, 664 nt
Organism: Picea glauca (white spruce)
Lineage: Eukaryota; Viridiplantae; Streptophyta; Pinopsida; Pinales; Pinaceae
Source: Rfam
AAUUAAUAUAUAACCUUAUAACAAUCGACUCACAGUUGGUUCGGAGAAGGGGAAUCUGACUAUUUAAUUAAAACAAAGAAUUGCGAUGGUCCUUAUGGAUGCUAACGCAAUGUGAUUUUUGCCCAGUUCUCUGAAUGUUAAAGUGAAGAAAUUCAACUAAGAAUGGGUAAACGACAAGAGUAAAUGUAACUCUCUUAAGGUAGCCAAAUGCCUCAUCAUCUAAUUAGUGAUGCAUAUGAAUGGAUUAACUAGAUUACCACUAUCCCUAUCUAUUGUAUAGCGAAACCACGACCAAGGGAAUGCGAUUGACAUAAUCAAGAGGGAAAGAAGACCUUGUUGAGCUUGACUCUAGUACGACUUUGUGAAAUUACUUUAGAGGUGUAUAAUAAGUGGGAUUAUUUUUCGGCACAAAUGAAAUACAACUACUUUUAACGUUAUUUUACUUAUUAUGUAGGGAAGAGAGGGGAAUUUACCCUAUUUUUGGCCUUAAGACACAUUUCAAUGGGUCAAUCUGGGCGAAAGACAUUGUCAGGUGGGGAUUUUGGAUGGGGAGACACAUCUGUUAAAAGAUAACAUAAAAUGUAAUUGGUGUAGAUAGAAAAUUUGUGUUUGGGAGAUCCUAGUGCACAAGCACCCUUAUUACAUUUCCCUCCUAAUUUGUAGU